Ornithorhynchus anatinus (platypus) is the source of this 257-nucleotide long non-coding RNA. RefSeq lists it as uncharacterized. The record is from RefSeq and is a predicted model, not a curated record. The transcript is spliced from 2 exons. Lineage: Eukaryota; Metazoa; Chordata; Mammalia; Monotremata; Ornithorhynchidae.
CUUUGACCGGUUGCAUCCACGGUAUCAACAUCCCAAGGAGCCGUGGAACCCAGACACUGAGGACUCAAGAUGAUUUCAGAAGACCCGAGUUCAAAUUUUGCCUCUGCCCCCCAUUUGCUGUGGAGCCUCGCUUUCAGGACACAGAGGAACAAUAGCUCUUACUUUUGUCCUGCUCGCCUCCCUUCUCAAGCUGGUUUCUGAAGCUCUGGCAAAACAGUGUGCUCCCGAAAAGUGUCAAGAAAGCUGCUGCUGCUGCA